AAGACUAUAGACCUGCGGAGUACCUGCGGAAGGAUCAUUAUAGAGUGGUAAACCCCCCGUAAAAGGGGGGGACCUCCUGUCCUUUGUAGGCUCUUUUUUAAAAGGGCUUUUUUUAAUUUUCUGCUUCGGUGGGGUUAUCCCACCGGAACAACCUCAAAACUCUUAUCAAAAAAUCGUUCUGUCUGAGAACCUUUUAUAAUAAAAAAAAACUUUCAACAACGGAUCUCUAGAUCGGAAGAG
RNAcentral lists this unclassified non-coding RNA (240 nucleotides) under soil metagenome. RNAcentral describes it as "partial contains 5.8S ribosomal RNA, internal transcribed spacer 2, and large subunit ribosomal RNA". The record is from RNAcentral.